Molecule: ribosomal RNA, 1434 nt
Filed under: uncultured organism
Description: 16S ribosomal RNA
Rfam family: Bacterial small subunit ribosomal RNA
Source: RNAcentral
CGACAGGCUUAACACAUGCAAGUCGAGGGGCAGCACAGGUAGCAAUACCGGGUGGCGACCGGCGCACGGGUGAGUAACGCGUAUGCAACUUACCUAUCAGAGGGGGAUAACCCGGCGAAAGUCGGACUAAUACCGCAUGAAGCAGGGGCCCCGCAUGGGGAUAUUUGCUAAAGAUUCAUCGCUGAUAGAUAGGCAUGCGUUCCAUUAGGCAGUUGGCGGGGUAACGGCCCACCAAACCGACGAUGGAUAGGGGUUCUGAGAGGAAGGUCCCCCACAUUGGUACUGAGACACGGACCAAACUCCUACGGGAGGCAGCAGUGAGGAAUAUUGGUCAAUGGCCGAGAGGCUGAACCAGCCAAGUCGCGUGAGGGAUGAAGGUUCUAUGGAUCGUAAACCUCUUUUAUAAGGGAAUAAAGUGCGGGACGUGUCCCGUUUUGUAUGUACCUUAUGAAUAAGGAUCGGCUAACUCCGUGCCAGCAGCCGCGGUAAUACGGAGGAUUCGAGCGUUAUCCGGAUUUAUUGGGUUUAAAGGGUGCGUAGGCGGCCUUUUAAGUCAGCGGUGAAAGUCUGUGGCUCAACCAUAGAAUUGCCGUUGAAACUGGGGGGCUUGAGUAUGUUUGAGGCAGGCGGAAUGCGUGGUGUAGCGGUGAAAUGCAUAGAUAUCACGCAGAACCCCGAUUGCGAAGGCAGCCUGCCAAGCCAUGACUGACGCUGAUGCACGAAAGCGUGGGGAUCAAACAGGAUUAGAUACCCUGGUAGUCCACGCAGUAAACGAUGAUCACUAGCUGUUUGCGAUACACAGUAAGCGGCACAGCGAAAGCGUUAAGUGAUCCACCUGGGGAGUACGCCGGCAACGGUGAAACUCAAAGGAAUUGACGGGGGCCCGCACAAGCGGAGGAACAUGUGGUUUAAUUCGAUGAUACGCGAGGAACCUUACCCGGGUUUGAACGCAUUCGGACCGAGGUGGAAACACCUUUUCUAGCAAUAGCCGUUUGCGAGGUGCUGCAUGGUUGUCGUCAGCUCGUGCCGUGAGGUGUCGGCUUAAGUGGCAUAACGAGCGCAACCCUUGCCACUAGUUACUAACAGGUGAUGCUGAGGACUCUGGUGGGACUGCCAGCGUAAGCUGCGAGGAAGGCGGGGAUGACGUCAAAUCAGCACGGCCCUUACAUCCGGGGCGACACACGUGUUACAAUGGCGUGGACAAAGGGAGGCCACCUGGCGACAGGGAGCGAAUCCCCAAACCACGUCUCAGUUCGGAUCGGAGUCUGCAACCCGACUCCGUGAAGCUGGAUUCGCUAGUAAUCGCGCAUCAGCCAUGGCGCGGUGAAUACGUUCCCGGGCCUUGUACACACCGCCCGUCAAGCCAUGGGAGUCGGGGGUACCUGAAGUCCGUAACCGCGAGGAUCGGCCUAGGGUAAAACUGGUGACUGGGGC